CCUACGGGGGGCAGCAGUGAGGAAUAUUGCGCAAUGGACGAAAGUCUGACGCAGCAACGCCGCGUGAAGGAUGAAGGUGCUCUGCAUUGUAAACUUCUGUAGGGAGGGAAGAACAACCUGUUAUUGAUGGGUUUGACGGUACCUCCAAAGUAAGCACCGGCUAAUUCCGUGCCAGCAGCCGCGGUAAUACGGAAGGUGCAAGCGUUGUCCGGAUUGACUGGGUGUAAAGGGCGCGUAGGCGGAGAUGUGUGUCGGGAGUGAAAUCGUGCGGCUUAACCGUACAAUUGCUUUCGAAACUACAUCCCUUGAGUACAGAAGGGGUAGAUGGAAUACCUGGUGUAGCGGUGGAAUGCGUAGAUAUCAGGUAGAACACCGGAGGCGAAGGCGGUCUACUGGUCUGUAACUGACGCUGAGGCGCGAAAGUGUGGGGAGCAAACAGGCUUAGAUACCCCAGUAGUC
RNAcentral lists this ribosomal RNA (459 nucleotides) under uncultured bacterium. Its description in RNAcentral is "bacterial SSU rRNA". It matches the Rfam family "Bacterial small subunit ribosomal RNA", at positions 338 to 795 of the family's 1533-position model. The record is from RNAcentral.